RNAcentral lists this ribosomal RNA (501 nucleotides) under uncultured bacterium. RNAcentral's name for it is "partial 16S ribosomal RNA". It matches the Rfam family "Bacterial small subunit ribosomal RNA", at positions 30 to 523 of the family's 1533-position model. The record is from RNAcentral.
AUUGAACGCUGGCGGCAUGCCUUACACAUGCAAGUCGAACGGCAGCACGGGUGCUUGCACCUGGUGGCGAGUGGCGAACGGGUGAGUAAUACAUCGGAACGUACCUUAUCGUGGGGGAUAACGCAGCGAAAGCUGUGCUAAUACCGCAUACGCCCUGAGGGGGAAAGCGGGGGAGCGAAAGACCUCGCGCGAUUAGAGCGGCCGAUGCCUGAUUAGCUUGUUGGUGGGGUAAAAGCCCACCAAGGGGACGGUCAGUAGCUGGUCUGAGAGGACUAUUAGCCACGCUGGGACUGAGACACGGCCCAGGCUCCUACGGGAGGCAGCAGUGGUGAAAUUUGGACAAUGGGGGCAACCCUGAUCCAGCAAUGCGGCGUGAGUGAAGAAGUUCUUCGGGUUGUAAAGCUCUUUUGUCAGGGAAGAAACACCGGCUCUAACACAGUCCGGGAAUGACGGUACCUGAAGAAUAAGCACCGGCUAACUACGUGCCAGCCGCCGCAGUAA